Molecule: ribosomal RNA, 478 nt
Filed under: uncultured bacterium
Lineage: Bacteria
Description: partial 16S ribosomal RNA
Rfam family: Bacterial small subunit ribosomal RNA
Source: RNAcentral
GACGAACGCUGGCGGCGUGCUUAACACAUGCAAGUCGAACGGUAAGGCCCUUCGGGGUACACGAGCGGCGAACGGGUGAGUAACACGUGGGUGAUCUGCCCUGCACUGCGGGAUAAGCGUGGGAAACUGGGUCUACUCCCGGACAGGACUCCUGGCUUCAGGGUUGGUGGUUGAAAGCUUUUGCGGUGUGGGAUGGGUCCGCGGCCUAUCAGCGUGUUGGUGGGGUAAUGGCCUAACAAGGCGACGACGGGUAGCCGGCCUGAGAGGGUGACCGGUCACACUGGGACUGAGAUACGGCCCAGACUCCAACGGGAGGCAGCAGUGGGGAAUAUUGCACAAUGGGCGCAAGCCUGAUGCAGCGACGCCGCGUGAGGGAUGACGGCCUUCGGGUUGUAAACCUCUUUCAGCUAUGACGAAGCGCAAGUGACGGUAGUAGCAGAAGAAGGACCGGCCAACUACGUGCCAGCCGCCGCCGUAA